GCUGGCGGCAGGCCUAACACAUGCAAGUCGAGCGGUAGAGAGAAGCUUGCUUCUCUUGAGAGCGGCGGACGGGUGAGUAAAGCCUAGGAAUCUGCCUGGUAGUGGGGGAUAACGUUCGGAAACGGACGCUAAUACCGCAUACGUCCUACGGGAGAAAGCAGGGGACCUUCGGGCCUUGCGCUAUCAGAUGAGCCUAGGUCGGAUUAGCUAGUUGGUGAGGUAAUGGCUCACCAAGGCGACGAUCCGUAACUGGUCUGAGAGGAUGAUCAGUCACACUGGAACUGAGACACGGUCCAGACUCCUACGGGAGGCAGCAGUGGGGAAUAUUGGACAAUGGGCGAAAGCCUGAUCCAGCCAUGCCGCGUGUGUGAAGAAGGUCUUCGGAUUGUAAAGCACUUUAAGUUGGGAGGAAGGGCAUUAACCUAAUACGUUAGUGUUUUGACGUUACCGACAGAAUAAACACCGGCUAACUCUGUGCCAGCAGCCGCGGUAAUACAGAGGGUGCAAGCGUUAAUCGGAAUUACUGNNCGUAAGCGCGCGUAGGUGGUUUGUUAAGUUGGAUGUGAAAUCCCCGGGCUCCACCUGGGAACUGCAUUCAAACUGACUGACUANAGUAUGGUAGAGGGUGGUGGAAUUUCCUGUGUAGCGGUGAAAUGCGUAGAUUUAGGAAAGAACACCAGUGGCGAAAGCGACCACUGGGACUAAUACUGACACUGAUGUGCGAAAGCUUGGGGAGCAGCAGGAUUAGAUACCUUGNAGUCCACGCCGUAAACGAUGUCAACUAGUCGUUGGGAGCCUUGAGCUUCUUAGUGGCUCAGCUAACG
Molecule: ribosomal RNA, 824 nt
Filed under: uncultured bacterium
Lineage: Bacteria
Description: bacterial SSU rRNA
Rfam family: Bacterial small subunit ribosomal RNA
Source: RNAcentral